Molecule: long non-coding RNA, 381 nt
Organism: Myxocyprinus asiaticus (Chinese sucker)
Lineage: Eukaryota; Metazoa; Chordata; Actinopteri; Cypriniformes; Catostomidae
Exons: 3
Source: RefSeq, a predicted model, not a curated record
UAGGCUGUGGGUCAGCAAGCAGCCAUUUUUAAUAUCCGUCUUAUUUAUUUAUAUAUUGAUUCAUUUAUCUUCAGAAUGGGAUGAGUUUUACUUGUAGAUGAGCGGAAAAGUCAAGAGUUGCGGGUCUUAUCUGUACACUGCAUGUUUUAGCAUGCAUCAAGAGCAGAUUACUGGUCUGCUGUGCAGCUUCAGUGCUGGCAGGUAGACCGUGUUGGUUGGCCAGUAUAUUCAGAUGCAGAUGUCCCAGGAAGGCAGAAAACAAACUCCAUGACCUUGGCUAAGACUCCGAAGUUGAUGGUUUUUCUCUCCAGCUCACAAAAAAUGUCUGUCCAUCUCUCAGACAUGGCCGUCUUGUUCAUGUUCCACUCAGUGAUGCGACGA